Molecule: long non-coding RNA, 1665 nt
Filed under: Homo sapiens (human)
Lineage: Eukaryota; Metazoa; Chordata; Mammalia; Primates; Hominidae
Description: HSALNT0210032
Source: RNAcentral
AAGACUGAAGGGAUGGGGAAAGUAGACAUCCAUGUACAAGACCUUUUGUGGAUCUCUUAGAGAAUGGCUUUCAGAUUGAAUGAACUUCAAAUUGAAGUCCAAAUGCAAAAUCUCACUACCAUAAAAGUGUCUGAAAUGGUUUAAGAAUUCAAAGUUACUAACUUAAAAGUCAAGAGGAAAGAAAAAGCCUCAUGGUCAAUUACUUACUUUACUUUUAAAUAAAGCAUACAUAUUUUCUCAUAUAGAGAACUUGUGACAACUACAUGGUCAAAACAGGGCAUAUAAUUUACUAAACACAUGAUUAAAAACUGAUAUAAAUGUGUGCAUAACACAAAGUUGAUAAUAAAUAUUUGUUGGAUAAAUAAAAAUAUGAGGGGAAUAUUUCAAACAUUGAAAAAAUCAUAACGAGAUAAUAUUAUUUGUUUGUAGAUUUUUAAAAUAAUCACAAUAGCUUUUCUCCUUAAAUACUUAACUUACAUUAAUCAGGCAUGUGCCUAAAGACCAACUGAAAAAAAUCAACUACGAUAAUGCUCUUAAUUUACUUAUAUGACAUAAUACCAGACAAUUUCAUUUUAAGUAACUUUACUAGGCUCUUGAUUAAAUUAAAUAAUUAAUCUAUCCAAUGAAAAUCUUCAUCAUUAUACUUAUAAAUACAAUUCUACACACUUGGUAAUAAUUUUACUUAAUUAUCUCUAAAUACAGGUGCAAAUCUAAGAAAGUACCAAACAUGUACCUUAAGCCCUGGCAGCCUUUUUUCUUACAGGUAGCUUGUUAUAUUAAUGCUAUAGAAUAACUCUGAAAAAUAUGUAAGAAAUCUAUAACACAGCAAACAGGUAACAUCAUCCAAAGAUGAGCAUGAUAUUAUUAAAAUAAAACAGUACUAUGCUUUCUGCUACUAGUUCUACUACAACUAAUAGAGGAAAUUGUACCACUAAUAAUAAAUUUAUUUAAAAUUUAAUACUCGCUAUAUGGAAGGCACAAUUUCUGUCACUUUAAGUUCAUUAAUGAAUCACACUCUUAUAAAAACCCUAUAAGUUAGAUAUAAAUGUUAUCAUAUUUUAAAAAGGUGAAUGAAAGUUUUAACAGCCUAAAUAACUGUCCCAGGAUGCCCAGCUCACAAGUCUCAGAAGCACAAUUCAAACUCCAAAUCUUUCACUAUACCCUGUCACUCUCAAUCCAUAUCCCCUGUUACUAAAAUUAAUAUACUAUCUCCAAGACAAAAUAGUAUUAGAACAAUGACACUACGCUAUUUGACUAGUAAAUGUAAUGUGUGAAGAAUCUAAUUUUUAAAAAACAAUUUGUCACAAUAAGCAGUCAUUUUAUUUCAAAAUUAGUUUUAAUAUAACUUCAUGUAGUUAUGAAAAAUGCAUUGGGGACUUACUAGGUGUUUUUUAUGUAGACUUCUAUUUAAUUUACCAACAUUGGAGUUAGGUUUGAUUAUUGUUAUUUUAUAGAUGACAAAACGGGAGCUCAGCUCAAUUAAGAAAGAGCCCAGGUCACUCUGUGAGCAUUAAUGUCAUAAACAAAACUUGGGUGUUUGAGUCCCAAACACACACAAAUCAUCAUAUAUAUGUAUAUAGACACGUAUGUCUGGGUGGGUGAGUAUACAUGUAUAUACAUAUACCAGAAGUGGCUAGUGAUAGGCAUUAGGAGCAAUUAGGAGCA